CCUAAUACAUGCAAGUCGAACGCUUCUUUUUUUCCGGAGCUUGCUCCACCGGAAAAAGAGGAGUGGCGAACGGGUGAGUAACACGUGGGUAACCUGCCCAUCAGAAGGGGAUAACACUUGGAAACAGGUGCUAAUACCGUAUAACAAUCGAAACCGCAUGGUUUUGAUUUGAAAGGCGCUUUCGGGUGUCGCUGAUGGAUGGACCCGCGGUGCAUUAGCUAGUUGGUGAGGUAACGGCUCACCAAGGCCACGAUGCAUAGCCGACCUGAGAGGGUGAUCGGCCACAUUGGGACUGAGACACGGCCCAAACUCCUACGGGAGGCAGCAGUAGGGAAUCUUCGGCAAUGGACGAAAGUCUGACCGAGCAACGCCGCGUGAGUGAAGAAGGUUUUCGGAUCGUAAAACUCUGUUGUUAGAGAAGAACAAGGAUGAGAGUAACUGUUCAUCCCUUGACGGUAUCUAACCAGAAAGCCACGGCUAACUACGUGCCAGCAGCCGCGGUAAUACGUAGGUGGCAAGCGUUGUCCGGAUUUAUUGGGCGUAAAGCGAGCGCAGGCGGUUUCUUAAGUCUGAUGUGAAAGCCCCCGGCUCAACCGGGGAGGGUCAUUGGAAACUGGGAGACUUGAGUGCAGAAGAGGAGAGUGGAAUUCCAUGUGUAGCGGUGAAAUGCGUAGAUAUAUGGAGGAACACCAGUGGCGAAGGCGGCUCUCUGGUCUGUAACUGACGCUGAGGCUCGAAAGCGUGGGGAGCAAACAGGAUUAGAUACCCUGGUAGUCCACGCCGUAAACGAUGAGUGCUAAGUGUUGGAGGGUUUCCGCCCUUCAGUGCUGCAGCUAACGCAUUAAGCACUCCGCCUGGGGAGUACGACCGCAAGGUUGAAACUCAAAGGAAUUGACGGGGGCCCGCACAAGCGGUGGAGCAUGUGGUUUAAUUCGAAGCAACGCGAAGAACCUUACCUAGGCUUGACAUCCUUCUGACCGAGGACUAAUCUCCUCUUUCCCUCCGGGGACAGAAGUGACAGGUGGUGCAUGGUUGUCGUCAGCUCGUGUCGUGAGAUGUUGGGUUAAGUCCCGCAACGAGCGCAACCCUUGUCUUUAGUUGCCAUCAUUAAGUUGGGCACUCUAGAGAGACUGCCAGGGAUAACCUGGAGGAAGGUGGGGAUGACGUCAAAUCAUCAUGCCCCUUAUGCCUAGGGCUACACACGUGCUACAAUGGGUGGUACAGAGGGCAGCCAAGCCGUGAGGUGGAGCAAAUCCCUUAAAGCCAUUCUCAGUUCGGAUUGUAGGCUGAAACUCGCCUACAUGAAGCUGGAGUUACUAGUAAUCACAGAUCAGAAUGCUGCGGUGAAUGCGUUCCCGG
This 1359-nucleotide ribosomal RNA is filed under the name uncultured bacterium. RNAcentral describes it as "bacterial SSU rRNA". It matches the Rfam family "Bacterial small subunit ribosomal RNA", at positions 47 to 1377 of the family's 1533-position model. The record is from RNAcentral.